UUGACCCCCGUUUGGCGCAGUUACCGUUAAAUGCCCCCUGGGGGAUUCCGUCGGAAGGUUAAACCCAAAAGGAAUGGCGGGGGCCGCCCAACGGUUGGACCAUGUUGUUUAUUUGGCGCCACGCGAAGAACCUUCCCGGUUCUGACAUCCCAAGAACCCGCUGGAAACAUGGGGGUCCCUCGGGGAACCUGGUGACGGGUGCUGCAUGGCUGUCGUCAGCUCGUGUCGUGAGAUGUUGGGUUAAGUCCCGCAACGAGCGCAACCCCCUGUCGUUAGUUGCCAUCAUUAAGUUGGGCACUCUAGCGAGACUGCCGGUGUUAAACCGGAGGAAGGUGGGGAUGACGUCAAGUCCUCAUGGCCCUUACGAUCGGGGCUACACACGUGCUACAAUGACUGGUACAGACGUCCCGAGCCCGCGAGGGGGAGCCAAUCGCAAAAAACCAGCCUCAGUUCGGAUUGGAGUCUGCAACUCGACUCCAUGAAGUCGGAAUCGCUAGUAAUCGUGGAUCAGCACGCCACGGUGAAUACGUUCCCGGGCCUUGUACACACCGCCCGUCACACCAUGGGAGUUGUUUGGACCCGAAGUCGCUGAGCC
RNAcentral lists this ribosomal RNA (595 nucleotides) under uncultured bacterium. Its description in RNAcentral is "bacterial SSU rRNA". It matches the Rfam family "Bacterial small subunit ribosomal RNA", at positions 832 to 1436 of the family's 1533-position model. The record is from RNAcentral.